UACGUAGGGUGCAAGCGUUAUCCGGAAUUAUUGGGCGUAAAGAGCUCGUAGGCGGUUUGUCGCGUCUGCUGUGAAAACCCGAAGCUCAACCUCGGGCCUGCAGUGGGUACGGGCAGACUAGAGUGCGGUAGGGGAGAUUGGAAUUCCUGGUGUAGCGGUGGAAUGCGCAGAUAUCAGGAGGAACACCGAUGGCGAAGGCAGAUCUCUGGGCCGUAACUGACGCUGAGGAGCGAAAGCGUGGGGAGCGAACAGG
This 253-nucleotide ribosomal RNA is filed under the name uncultured bacterium. RNAcentral describes it as "partial 16S ribosomal RNA". It matches the Rfam family "Bacterial small subunit ribosomal RNA", at positions 524 to 776 of the family's 1533-position model. The record is from RNAcentral.